UUUUGAUCUUCCAUCUUUUCGCCCCACUCUCUCUACUCUGUUAUUUCUAUCUCUCUAUCUUCUCUCAUAUUCAUUUUUCCGAGAUCGAAUCCACGCAAAAAGCAUCAUCCGCUCACCUCCUUCUUCGUCAGGAGUCCACUGUUCUCUCGAACAUAGGGUGAAAUCUUUCAAUAGAAGCUUGUCUUUGUUUUCCUUGGUCGUUUGCGAUGGAUGCUCAAAGGGCUUUGCUAGAUGAGCUAAUGGGUGCCGCUCGUAAUCUUACUGAGGAAGAGAAGAAGGGAUACAAGGAGGUAUGCUGGGAUGAUAAGGAAGUCUGUGCUUUCUACAUGGUUCGGUUUUGCCCACAUGAUUUGUUUGUUAACACGAAGAGUGACCUUGGAGCAUGCCCUAGAAUUCAUGAUUUGAAACUGAAGGAGAGCUUUGAGAAGUCACCAAGACAUGACAACUAUGUUCCCAAAUUCGAAGCAGAGCUUGCUCAAUUUUGUGAGAAGCUGGUAAUGGACUUGGAUCGAAAAGUGAGAAGGGGUCGUGAACGCUUAGCCCAAGAAGACAUCACACCCACUCCUCCUGUAUCUGCAGAGAAGUCGGAGCAGCUAAGUAUACUGGAGGAGAAGAUAAAGAAGCUUCUUGAGCAGGUGGAAUCUCUUGGGGAAGCUGGAAAAGUGGACGAGGCUGAAGCACUCAUGAGGAAGGUGGAGAUGUUGAAUGCUGAGAAGACCCUCAUGACACAGCAAGCCACAAAUGAGAGAGGGCUCACUCUCACUCAAGAGAAGAAGAUGGCCCUCUGUGAGAUUUGUGGCUCUUUCUUGGUUGCAAAUGAUGCGGCUGAGAGAACUCAAUCGCAUAUAACUGGAAAGCAGCAUAUUGGGUAUGGCAUGGUACGAGAUUUCAUUAGUGAAUUCAAGGCGGCCAAGGAGAAAGCGAGAGAAGAAGAGAGAUUAGCAAGGGAGAAGGAAGCGGAGGAGAGGAGAAGGCAGAGAGAGAAGGAAAGUGAGAGUAGAGUGAGAGGGAGGGACAUGGAUGAGAGAGGGAGGUAUCGAGAACGUGACCGGGACUGGGAAAGGGAUAGAGAACGGGACCGGUCUAGGGAGCGAAGCCAUAGAGGAAGCUGGGAAAAAGGGAGGGGAAGGGAUUGGAACCAUAACCACUACAGGGGUGGCAGGGAUACCAGAGGCCGUUCUCCUCCAAGGCACAGUCGUCGAAGAUCCUCAAGAAGCCCAGGCCGUGUUUAUUAGUGUGAACCAUAGAUGUCUUCGUACACCUUAAGAAAUGAGCUCUGUCGAGAGUGUAACAACUUCGUAUCGAAUAUUUUGCCAGCAUAUGGAGGUAGGUGCUUCCUUUUUCUGUCUUUCAAUAGUGUUUUGGUCCCAUUUUUGGUGGUCUUCUGAGUUUUGGCAUGAUUGUUUAUUCUGUUCUUGUUUUGGUCAUGGAAUGCUUAUGGUUUAGUUUAAUGCUCUUGGGCUGUCGGGGUUACUAGUUUUUCUCUUCAUGCAAAGAAGAUUACAGAGAGAGGUUCAGAGGCUAGCACCCAUUUUUUGGCCAUUUUGGCUUCAAGCUUACUUGCAGAGCCUAUGGAAGGAUGAGUCUUCUUAGUUUUGUGGUGAAAGAGAUGGUGAAGAAUUAUUAAGAGAUCUUCUUGCUUGGGAGCAUGUAGUACAAGUUAAAAUUAUUUUAUGGAAGUUGAGAUUAAUGUGAA
Amborella trichopoda is the source of this 1696-nucleotide non-coding RNA. The record is from RefSeq and is a predicted model, not a curated record. NCBI's taxonomy places the organism in Eukaryota, Viridiplantae, Streptophyta, Magnoliopsida, Amborellales, Amborellaceae.